UACAGGGGGGGCAAGCGUUGUUCGGAAUUACUGGGCGUAAAGGGCGCGUAGGCGGCCAACUAAGUCACACGUGAAAUCCCCAGGCUUAACCUGGGAACUGCGUGUGAUACUGGAUGGCUUGAAUUCGGGAGAGGGAUGCAGAAUUCCUGGUGUAGCGGUGAAAUGCGUAGAGAUCAGGAAGAACACCGGUGGCGAAAGCGCUCUGCUAGGCCGCAACUGACACUGAGGGACGAAAGCUAGGGGAGCGAAUGGG
RNAcentral lists this ribosomal RNA (253 nucleotides) under uncultured bacterium. RNAcentral describes it as "partial 16S ribosomal RNA". It matches the Rfam family "Bacterial small subunit ribosomal RNA", at positions 524 to 776 of the family's 1533-position model. The record is from RNAcentral.